UGGCUCAGAUGGUAAAGCAUCUGCCUACAAUGCAGGAGACCCAGGUUCAAUCCCUGG
Ovis aries (sheep) is the source of this 57-nucleotide transfer RNA. It matches the Rfam family "tRNA", at positions 8 to 63 of the family's 71-position model. From Rfam's summary of the family: Transfer RNA (tRNA) molecules are approximately 80 nucleotides in length. NCBI's taxonomy places the organism in Eukaryota, Metazoa, Chordata, Mammalia, Artiodactyla, Bovidae. The record is from Rfam.